GCCGAAGUGGCGAAAUGGUAGACGCGCCGGUCUCAAAAACCGGUGGGGGUGACUCCGUGUCAGUUCGACUCUGACCUUCGGCACCA
RNAcentral lists this transfer RNA (86 nucleotides) under SAR202 cluster bacterium MP-NPac-SRR3961935-G1. RNAcentral's name for it is "tRNA-Leu". It matches the Rfam family "tRNA". Rfam says of the family: Transfer RNA (tRNA) molecules are approximately 80 nucleotides in length. Their secondary structure includes four short double-helical elements and three loops (D, anti-codon, and T loops). The record is from RNAcentral. RNAcentral also lists the same sequence under 3 other names. Lineage: Bacteria; Bacillati; Chloroflexota; Dehalococcoidia.